UACAGAGGUGGCAAGCGUUGUUCGGAAUUACUGGGCGUAAAGAGCGCGCAGGCGGUCGAUCAAGUCGCGUGUGAAAGCCCCCGGCUCAACUGGGGAGGGUCACGCGAUACUGAUCGACUCGAAGGCAGGAGAGGGUAGUGGAAUUCCCGGUGUAGUGGUGAAAUGCGUAGAUAUCGGGAGGAACACCAGUGGCGAAGGCGACUACCUGGCCUGUUCUUGACGCUGAGGCGCGAAAGCUAGGGGAGCAAACGGG
This 253-nucleotide ribosomal RNA is filed under the name uncultured bacterium. Its description in RNAcentral is "partial 16S ribosomal RNA". It matches the Rfam family "Bacterial small subunit ribosomal RNA", at positions 524 to 776 of the family's 1533-position model. The record is from RNAcentral.